GUGCCGUCAAUGGGGUCCAGGUACAGUGCUUGCUCUGCCGAGGCUGGGUGCCGAGGUUCUUUCGUUUUGCUUUUGUUAGUCACCCUCCUGUGGGGAGAGGUACUGUGUUUAUCAAACUGGAGAAACCUAACGGGCGGCUAUGACCUCUAGGAAAUCUUUGUAAAAGCUACGUAGUGAUACCCUGCCGGACCACCUAGGAAGUGAUCAAUGGGGAGUCAUGAUCCCCGGGCAAAACGGGAAUCACGGCUCAUGGGUAAAGUGUGCGACCUCUGCAGAGGGUAAUGAAACUGAUAUAUCAGCCGUGCUCACGGUUAAGAGCAGCCUUGGGAUCCUCUUUGAUUAGAGAUACAUAUGAUCCGAGAUACAAUGGUUAUGUUUAUGGUUUUUGUUCGACUAUGAUGAUGAUGUUCCUCGAUGAGGAAAUGGUUCACGGGUUUGUUAUUACUAAAAUUUGGCUUCCACUGAUAAUAAAUAUCUGACCAACUAAAAGCAACUGCUUGAGCUUAACCCCACAUAAAGCUAGUCCACCUCAGCCAAACGGGACAUUUGCUGAGUACGUUGAUGUGUACUCACCCUUGCUUUCACAAAACACCAGGUUGCCUUUGGUGCAAUCUAUGCUCAGGUAAAGAAGGCGUCGAGGCGGAUCUCCAGGAGUUCCGGGACUUCGACGAGUUCGAGAAUUAGGCUAGCGACCACCCCCAGUCAGCUGCCUGUGGUGGGUUUAUUUACGUUGGCUACGUUUCUAUUCUGUGUACUUUGAUUUUACUAUGUAAAUGACUCUAGUCUUUCAUAUUAUUACUUACCCUUUAUUGUUAUUCGAAGCAUUGUGCUAUGAUGAGUCAUUUAUGUAAUCGCUAUGUACGUGAGUUCUGAUCCUGGCACGUACAUGGUUCGCAUUCGGUUUACCUUCCAAAACCGGUUGUGACAUAAGUGGUAUCAAAGUCGUGCUGACUGUAGGACCGCUGACCUAGAGUAGCAUUGGCUGUUUUAAGGACUUAAUGAUUAUUACUUCACCCCAUCCUUGGUUCUGCUUCAAAAUAUUAGUCACCUCGACUAAUUCUAUGUUGUGCUCCUAUAUGCCCCCUUGCCAAAAGUAUUUUAUUCUAGUAUGGUCUAUAUUUCUCUCAAUCUAGUAGAUCUGAUCUCACUCUUGUGCUUGCGACAUCCUUGUAGAUGCCCAUGACCAUAACCUUCUUGCCUUUUGGGAUUUAUUGCUCUUCCAUCAUUAAAUUUCUACCAUUUAGCAAUCCUUAUUCCUUUGUUAUUGACAUACUCGUAUUCCUAAUUUUUUAAUACUCUUGUUUCAAAUACUUACAUCUGAAUUUCUACUACCUACCUAGACAUUUUAGUUUAUAUGUUCAUGACCUUCUUGUCUUCUGAGAUCCCUUCCUAUUCUAUUGUUACGUCGUCAUCCUUCGUUUUUUCUAUUCCCUUGUCUUGGUAUGCUUGUAUCCUUGGAAUCUUGCAUACCCCAAUGACUGUUCAAGACAUUUUAGUUAACAUGUCCUUGACCACCCUUGUUUCUUAAUGAUCCAUGAGCGAUCAUUUUUAUUUUGCACACCUGUGGUAAUCUCAUUGUUUCCUUGUAACUUCCUUCGAUAAUGAUUUUUUUUACUUCAACUCUUCUGUCGGAACCUCACUUAUCUUAUCCUUGAUUGUUUUCUCCACUUCGUCACUUUGCGAGUCUUGCCUUAACUCUAUCCAAGAAUUAUGCUUUUCAUCAUUAUCACCUUUAUCCUUAUCACCCCUAUAUCUUACCUUGAUGUUUAUCUUAUACCAACCUUUGAAAUAUCCUCUUUUCCAUGUCAACCUGAGCAUUGUACUUUACCUACUUUUCCCUUGGUCGUAUCCUCUUCUUUGCCACCUGCGAGUUUUUUAACUCUAUCGUUUGUUUUGUUUUGUUUGUUAUUUCCUUUACCCUUCUCAUCACUCUAUCCUACCUUGUGAUUACAUUAUGUCUGUUAUCUAAAAUCUCUAGUCUCCUAUCUCAAUUUGAGAGCAGUGUUUUACUUACCUCACCCUUGGCUAUAUUCUCUUCUUUACCGCAUGUAAGCUUGGGUGCAACUCCAUUCUUUGUUGUACUUAUACCACUGGCUCUUCUAUGCCUUCAUCUUUUCUCCUAUACUCUUAUCUGUUAUUGCCUUGGACCCUUUCGAUAUUUAUGUCUUCUACCUAAAUGCUUACCUUGAAUUUAUCCUUUAAAAGCCUCUCCUUUAUUUUGAGAAAGUUUGAGAGUUGCGAGUUACCUAUCUCUUCCUUGAUUUCUUUUCACUUCUUGUCGCCUUACAAGUUUUGUGUUAAUUCCAUCCCUUGCUGUAUUUUUUAUUUGCUAUCACCCUCACCUUGUCGUCCAUCGAUCUUGCUUGAUACUCAUCUUUAUUCCUACUCUUUAAAAAAAAUCUCCUCUCUUCCACCUCAAUUUGAGAGUGGCGAUUUACCUAUCUGGCCCUUGGACAUGCCCUCUCCUUUUCCAUUUGUAGGUAUUGUCUUAACCCCAUCCUUUGUGGUAUUUAUAUCCUUGAUUCUUAUGCACAUUUACCUCCUCUCCUACGUCCUUGUACGUUAUCACCUUUAAACACUCAUGAUACCUAUGCCCUUGCCCUCCUGCUUACCUUGAACCUACCUUUUGAAGCCUCGACUUUUCCAUCACUGUUCGAGGAUAAUGCCUCACCUACUUCAUCAUUGACUGCUCCCCUUCUUUGACACCUUGCAAGUUUUGUCUAGGAUACAUCCUUUGUUGUGUGUUUGUCCGUUAUCACCUUAACCCUUGUCACCCCUCGAUCUUUACCUUGAUGCUUAUCAUGUACCUUCAUUAUAAAGCCUCCUCUCCCAUUUCAUUUCAAGAGUGAUGUCUUGCCCAUCCCGCUCUUGUCCUUCCCUUUUUCCUCUAUCACGUUGCAAGUCUUGUCCUAACUCGAUCUUUUGGGUGUGCUUUUGCCUGUUACCUCCCUUACCUUUGUAAUCUCUAGAUCUUUCCAGGAUGCUUAUCUUAUGCCUACCUUUUUAAUUAUCAUCUUUCCCAUCUCAAUUUGAGAAUGGUGUUUACAUACCCUACCCUUGGUUGCAUUUUCUCCCUUGUAAAUUACGAUCCUUGCUUUAACUCCAUCCCUUAUUGUGCUUGUGUCCCUAUCCUACACGUCUUGUUCUUCUCCUCGUCCUUCGACAACCUUAGAGAGUAGUUAUUCCCUUUUCAAGAAAGACGACCAUCUAACUAACAUUAACGUAUAGCAACGAGAUGUUUGUUGUUGUAUGUUUGUGUUGUUUGUCCUUGUGUGAUGACUGAUUUGCUUCCUUGUGAUGAGUGUUGAGGUGUUGUGACCCUUGGUCUGCAAUGACCUCAGUUUACUAGUCGAGUGUCAUAUAGUUAGGUAGCAUGGUGCCCUCCCUUUUCUCUCUUUAAUCCAUUUAUGCUUACCUUUUCUAUCUAUACCCUUUCCUCUUAUGCAUGUCCGGUUGGCAACCUCCAACUCCUCUUAAUCAAUCAAGAUCAGAGUCGACAACGACUUCAUCAAGUGCAUAUCAACGCUCCUGUUAAGGGGGUUAGCCACUACCCCAAUGAAGACAAUGCGAACAACAUCAGCCAACACGACCAAAGUGGCGCAGCGAAAGCGUGUGUGGGUCCUAACCCACAGGUCCAAGAGAUCCUCAAGAGUUCCAUCAGUGGGUCGUGAACAUCUGAAGGUCAAAUCACCAGUCCACAAGCUAAGCUGGAAGAAUCAAAGUCGCAUCGAAAAGCGGUGAAAACCAAGGAACCACUUGUUUUCUUGCUAGCCUCUUCUUGAAUCUCGAGGGCGAUAUUCCUGUUAAGGGGGUUAGAUUUGUAACACCCUGAAUUUGGGGGUAUAAAAUUUCUUUUCUAAUAUCCACCAAAUUCAGGUGUUACCCUCUUCUUUACUUGCUUUUUUUCUAAAUAAUGGACAUUAAUUUUAUUAUAUAUAUGUAUAUAAGUUUUUAGCGUAGUAAAAUAAAAUUCUAGAGAAGCUUUAAUUGUUGCAUUCAUGUCGUUGCAUAGUGUUUUUGAGUGCAAAGGUUUUCAAACUAUAUCGAAUUAUCUUGUUCAUGUUUCCGAAAACUUUUGGGAACCUUCGAAAUGUUUCCUUGAGUAUUAAAAUAUAAUUUUUAGUUGUUCUAAUAUUAAUUAAAUACCCAAAAAAUUAGUAUUUACGAAAACUACAAAAUCUUGGAAACUCGAUUAUAUAUAUAUAUAUAUAUGUUCCUCUCCUCGAACUCGUUCUAUGUUUUGUGUCAUUUUCGUGAGGUCAUCAAACCGCUUUUUCUCCUCGCGAACGUUGUGCUGCUCGCACACCUGCUACCCCUCUAUUUCAUCUACCAUCGUCUACCCUGCCUACCGAUGUCUACUCGUGUCUACCUUCCAUACACCACCCUGCUCCAUAUCGUCGCACAACGCCCCACACAUUAUGCGUACAACUGUCUUCCCUUUCUCGUGUCCCCCUCACUGACAUUUCGGGCUCACAUGUCAGCUCUAUCUACCCCUGUUCCCCUUAGUUAUCGUCCCUUACAAAACCCCCCUUUCCUCUACGCACAUAUUCCCUUCCCCCAGAUCCAGAUCACACGAGCCCCUUCGGUUACUGAUCAUCACAGGUGCGUUCCCUUUCCCUCCGUGCACUCUUCCACUCCAUUUCCGUUGGCCGAGCAGCCCCGGCCGUGUCCUGGCCUCCUUUGUCGAGCUGUGAUGCCGUUGUAGGUCUUCUAUCUUCUCCCUGCAGGCCAGAGCGCGCCGCUGCAGUGGCCGACGAACCUCCGCCCAACGCCGGCCCCUCCACACCCAAGACAAAACCCCGACGAGGACCCUUGGUGCUGACUGACUGAAGCCCUUCACACACGGUCAGUGCUAACGACGCCCAUGAAGCACCCCUGAACCCAUGCUAAAAAUCCAAACCCCCCACGACGGUUGCACACAAGUGCUGCGUGAUGCAAAGCCCAGGCAGCCUCACUCCCAUCCCAUGUCCAGCGCUAGUUGUGGGCCCCUAGUGCUCGUCCUGUGUUCCCCAGCGGCAUGGUGGCUAGCGCCCCUAGCCCUCUCUCCCUGCUGCUCUUUCUCUAUUAUCUCAAUGGAGAGGGUAAUAGAUUCCUAUACGUGAGGUGGAAGAAGGAGUUAGCCACACUAAAUCCCACUUUCUUUUAUCUUGUGUGGUUGUGACCCACGUGGUCCACUGUGUGGCACAUUUUCGACCAAUAGGAUCGUACCACGUAGUCUAAAUCCGAGAAACGCUAGUUAUUCAAUAUAUAUGUUACGUUGUGAGUCUAUCUCGACUCAUUUUAGUCGUAGCAACCUCGUAAUAACCUCGACUACAUGUUAGUAAUAUUAUUUGGUCGCAACACAUAUUUUCGUUAAUUAGGUAGUUAAUCUAAGGUUUAUUUGAACGACAUUCUAAUUAAAAUAUAGGUAUAAUUUUAAAUGGUGAUUUUAUAUAUGCAAAUUAAUGUGGUUAGUGCCGACUCAGAUGUUUUCAUCUAAUAUUUGUUUAAUGUAAAUGUGACGUCUGUUUAGCUUUCCUCGUGUGUCACGCGCGUCGUUUGCACGCUGUCGUGCUGUUUCGUGUAUCGUCAAUUCGCAUCGCUUAGAAUCUCUUGUGUUAAUUAAAUUACUUUUUUAUUUGACAGCUGUUAGCGUAACAGAUUUAAUCAGAACUAAAUAGUAGUAUUAAUUUAUAUUUAAUUAAUAUCUAUUAAUAUAAUUAUGUCGAAUUGGAUGUUCUAAUUAAUACUUGUUUAGCGUAAACGUGCUAACCCCUCGACCAUAGCUUUGUCUAUCGUGGUUCUUUUCCUCGCGUAACCGUAGAGGCACUCUCUAUUUUAUAUUGUUCGCAUUUAUAAUAUUUUAUCUUGUAUAGUGUAAUGUUCUUAUGCAUAUACAUAUGUUUGUUUGCUUGUGCUUGUUCGUCUUCACUUCGCGUUGCGAUUAGAUCACGAUUCGUUUCCAAGCUUCGAGGAAUCAACGGUCAAGCUUCGACGACCAAGUGAUCAAACUCUACAAGUUCUACGAGAUUGAAGACCCUGAGCAUCUAUUUGUUGAAGGCAAGUGUCCUCUGACCCAUUAUGUCCCAUCUACUUUAUAAUACACUGUCCUGCAUACUAUGAACAACCUAAGGAUUUACUAGCUUUCUAUUUACCUUGUCCUUGAUUUACCUUUUGGGUUACUAUAGUUAGCUACAUGCUAGCGCUUUACUUUAAUCAAUGAACAUGAUGAGAUACAAUGUUGAUACUAUGAUUUUAUUCUGGAUAUGAUGAUAUACUUGUGGCAUUUAAGGGGACUCGGGCUGUUUCCUGAGUACCUCUCCGUAAGGACCUGUUCGUUGAGAGACCACCCGGGAUAACAGUGCAACCAUGAGAGUAAAAUGGGACGCCCUUAGCUAAUUAAUUAGAGGAACUAGAGGUGUAGUUGCUUCGCCGUCGUGCCGUCAAUGGGGUCCAGGCACAGUGCUUGCUCUGCCGAGGCUGGGUGCCGAGGUUCUUUCGUUUUGCUUUUGUUAGUCACCCUCCUGCGGGGAGAGGUACUGUGUUUAUCAAACUGGAGAAACCUAACGGGCGGCUAUGACCUCUAGGAAAUCUUUGUAAAAGCUACGUAGUGAUACCCUGCCGGACCACCUAGGAAGUGAUCAAUGGGGAG
This 6631-nucleotide long non-coding RNA is filed under the name Zea mays. RNAcentral describes it as "long non-coding RNA (ZMAY_LNC001950)". The record is from RNAcentral. Lineage: Eukaryota; Viridiplantae; Streptophyta; Magnoliopsida; Poales; Poaceae.